UACGGAGGGUGCAAGCGUUGCUCGGAAUUAUUGGGCGUAAAGGGUAGGUAGGUGGUCUCAUUUGUCUGGGGUGAAAGCCUUGAGCUUAACUCAAGAAGUGCCCUAGAAACGGUGAGACUAGAGUUCUGGAGAGGGUCGUGGAAUUCCCGGUGUAGCGGUGAAAUGCGUAGAGAUCGGGAGGAACACCAGUGGCGAAGGCGGCCUCCUGGAUCGAUACUGACGCUGAGGCGCGAAAGCGUGGGGAGCAAACAGG
RNAcentral lists this ribosomal RNA (253 nucleotides) under uncultured bacterium. Its description in RNAcentral is "partial 16S ribosomal RNA". It matches the Rfam family "Bacterial small subunit ribosomal RNA", at positions 524 to 776 of the family's 1533-position model. The record is from RNAcentral.